GACGAACGCUGGCGGCGUGCUUAACACAUGCAAGUCGAACGGAAAGGCCCUGCUUUUGUGUGGUGCUCGAGUGGCGAGCGGGUGAGUAACACGUGAGUAACCUGCCCUUGACUGUGGGAUAACUUCAGGCAACUGGGGCUAAUACAGGAGAGGAGCUCCUGCUGCAUGGUGGGGGUUGGAAAGUUUCGGCGGUUGGGGAUGGACUCGCGGCUUAUCAGCUUGUUGGGUGGGUAGUGGCUUACCAAGGCUUUGACGGAUAGCCGGCAUGAGAGGGUGACCGGCCACAUUGGGACUGAGAUACGGCCCAGACUCCUAUGGUAGGCAGCAGUGGGGAAUAUUGCACAAUGGGCGGAAGCCUGAGGCAGAAACGCCGCGUGCGGGAUGACGGCCUUCGGGGUGUAAACCGCUUUCGCUUGUGACGAAGCGUGAGUGACGGUAAUGGGUAAAGAAGCACCGGCUAACUACGUG
This 468-nucleotide ribosomal RNA is filed under the name uncultured bacterium. RNAcentral's name for it is "partial 16S ribosomal RNA". It matches the Rfam family "Bacterial small subunit ribosomal RNA", at positions 28 to 507 of the family's 1533-position model. The record is from RNAcentral.